This 27145-nucleotide long non-coding RNA is filed under the name Nicotiana tabacum (common tobacco). Its description in RNAcentral is "long non-coding RNA (NTAB_LNC004637)". Lineage: Eukaryota; Viridiplantae; Streptophyta; Magnoliopsida; Solanales; Solanaceae. The record is from RNAcentral.
GCAGAAGAAGGAGAUUAAGGAUAUUUUGGUUAGGUACGACAGGACUUUGCUUGUUGCUGAUCCGAGAAGGUGUGAACCUAAGAAGUUUGGUGGUCGUGGUGCUCGUGCUAGGUUCCAGAAAUCUUACCGUUAAAAUUCCUAUUUCGAUUUAUGGUAUCUGUUUUUAUCCCUGUUGGUAUGGUUUUGGUUUAGGAAUCAUUAUGGAUUUACUGCUAUCUGAGAAAGUUUUGGAUUUGGAUAAACUUUAAUAUAGCUGUUUCACAUGCUAUGAAAUAUGAAUGCAAUGAAUUGUGCUUUUAUUUGCAUAUGUAGAAUUUUUGUUAUGCAAUGUGGCCUACUUGUAGCUAAAUUGAUAUUUUUGUUAAUGAGGAACUGGAGAAAAGGUUAUUCCCCUUGAGAAAAGGCGUAGGGAACAUUAUCCUGCAAUAUUGAAAAUGUAUAUUCAAUUAGUUUGUAAUGGUUGUCAGUUCCCUUAAUGACUCUUUCUAUUCUUGUAAAUUAUCAUAUUUAUAUAUAUAUGGAUUAGUCUGAGAUUAGGAGACCCUUAAUUUGCCUUGAAAGAAAAAUUAUUAGUAUUUGGAUGAGAGAGCAGAACAAUAUAGAUGAUCCAUGUGUGCUACCUUUUCAUGAGUUUUCAGGUGAUAAAAGGGUUCCCUUCAUGCUAUAACUUGUUUUAUCCUAUGCUAGUUAAGUGGAUUGAUUUAUGGAUAUAAAAAUGAAGAUUUGACAAAGAAGCAGGGAAUGCACUACUAACUUGUGUUAAUAUGCUUAAACUUUGGUUCACUCUGAGUUAUGAAAAAAGUCAUAUAUGCUUAAUUCUAGGAAACCUGUAGCUUCUUCUGACGGAGUUUACUAUCUAUACUAAUGUCUAGGACAUAAGAAUCCAACGUCCUUGAAACGUGUUAGGAUAUGGAGUUUUUUCUCACUUUUGAUGUGAAGAAAAAUAGGAUGUAGCAACUAGCCCAUUACAUAACAAGUUGCUCCACCGUCUCAUUACCAUGAAUUUACAACCUUCAAGUAUAGGUGCCCAAUUUACAGCACCAUAUUGGGUUCAGGAAAGUACUAAGUUCUUUGCCAUGACUUCCUUUACUGAAAACCUUUUCCAUUUGUUGGCCUAUUGGCUCUUCCUCAGUUCCUACCACACUUGGGCAGAUUGUUCUGUUUUAUCAUAAUUAAUUCUUAUUUGUAUUUGUUCGUCCGACAUAUUCCUUGGUGGAGUUAAAGAUGUUAGAUCUCAUUUUUCCUGUAGUAAUGUGUUGAAACAAGUUAAUUGAGUUUGCAGUCCAUCUUUUUGGUGAUAACGCUAAGAAGCUCGAUACUGGGAUUUGUGCAGUUGCAUACUUCUUUCCCUAUGGCUUAUUGAUGAAUUUAACCAAGUAGCUUGAGUUUUGCUCAAUAAUGCUUGUCUAGUUACUUUGGACUACAAUCUUUGUUUUUGGUUAUUACUUUAGCACACAAUUUAUCUAAUACUCAGUGAUUCCGCUGCCAAAUUCAGUCUCUUUGAUGAACCCAGAUUAAAUCUAGAGCUAUGAACUAACCAUCUCAACUCAUGUAAGUCCAUUGGUGGGAUUCAGAAUCCCCAUACUUCCAUAUGACUUCAGGUGUAUUUACUUAUUUUGCCAUAAAGUUCAAUUGGCUUUUGGGUUUAGAUUAGGGGUGCUUAUCGGGCGGAUAUUUAUGCUUCGGCUUAUCGGUUAUCGGAUUAUAAAUGUAGUAAUCCGCUAGCCAUCCAAUAAGACAACAGGCGGAUUGGUAUCGGAUUAAUGGUUAUCGGGCGGUUUAUUGGCUAAAUCAUAUCGAUUUUUUUUGAAUAAUCAUUCAAUCAAUACCAAACACAUCUAAUAAUAUUUUUGAAUUGAAGAGUCUUCUUCCAAGUUCAAAUCUAGUUCAUAUUGAAGAAUUCUCAUACACGUAUCAAUCAAUCAAAUUUUCUGCAACAUUCGUUCUUCACAAGAAAUCUAGAUUGUAAAACUAAAAAUCUAGAAAAUCGGACUUCAAUUUGUUAGAUUCAUGCAAAAAGGACAUAAAAUCAGACAAUUUCAAUUGUACUUUAUCUAUAUAUGAGUAAACGUGUAAAUAUAAAAUUUUUUAAUGGAUUAACGGUUACUCGGUAAGAAAAUUGAGUAAUCCGCCCCCAAACCGUUAUGCCGUUUAUUAUAAAAUCUCAAUUUGUUCACCAUCCAUUACCCCGAUAAUCCGAUAUCAAUAAGCCAAUAAGCCAUCGGUUCGGUUCGUUUUGAACAACCCUAGUUUAGAUGCACAAAAUGGAAAGAAAGACAGAAUAGCCUAGGAAACACGUGUACUUGUUUCAAUUUGACAUCUCAGUCCCUGUAUUCCAUACAGUUUCAUCCGGAUACCUGAACUCGAUCAAAACUAAUAUUUUAAACACUUCCGACCAUGUGUGUUAUUCGCUAUCCCUAAUAUGGAGGACACAUCAGAUCCACCUAGAUAAAUAAUAUCCAUAUCAUAAUUUGCUUUUACAAAAAUUUACUGUUUAAUAAAGAAGAGUGAAAGCAAGAAAGAGUUGAGUGUAGAGAAGUUGAGACAGUUCGAAAAACUGUGAAGUGUAAAGAAGAAUGAGGUGUAUAAGUAAAGGAAUAGGCGGCUAAAAUCGUGGCCAUGAUUACCUCGAGAACAGACGAAAGUAUUGCAUCGUGGAGUGAUGCGUGUUCAGGGCAUUAAAUGCAGAGAGACGUGCAUCUAAUCAAGCGUCAGAAACUUUUCAGAGAGAUAAGAAAAUUUUCCGCCAAGAAAGGUAUCUUCAUCAACUUCCCGAUGAUACAAAGAUAUGCCACCGAAAAGCAGGGGGACUAUCUGUAUAGGUUAAAAUCGGUUCGUAUUAAAUACUCGUAUAAUAGAGAGACACGUGGAACCAGAGACAGACAGAAAGCGAGACAAGUGGAAAACAAGACCGGGGGCAACAACUUCGGUUUGCACCGAAAAGACCCCGAAGGGAAUAUUGCUAAUGAAGACAAACAAAUAUCUGCCACCCGAUAGCAUUCAAUGAAGAGUAUUCUACAGUAUUAAAUACACAGUUCGUUAUAAAUAAUUUUGGCAUUCAUAGUGUGUCGUUACACAUUCGUCAAUGGACCCCAUAAUUGUCAUUUAAGAGGGGCUUGAUCCUAGGACUUUGUUCCCUAUGUACAGUUAUAAAUAGUGACUUCAACAGCCAUUGUAAGGGACACAAAUUAUGUGGCAAACUUAUGCUACAUACUAUUCGAAAAGCUCAAUACUACUUUAUUUCAUGUCUAUUGAUAUUCUUGUUAAUGCCUUCAGAAGCCCUGCUCCCUAUAACGACCCGAUCGGUUAUUUUGCUUUCCAAAUCUUCGUUCCUCUAAUUAAGACUCCCCGUAUGUGCUUUUACUAUUUUAUGACCCGUGGGGAUGGUCGGUUUAGGUUUAGAAGAGUUCGGGUUGGAAUCAGAACUCUUAAUUCCUUAAUAGUAGUAUAUAAUGGUUAAGUUUGACUUGAGUUAACGUUUUGAGUAAACGACCCCGGAACCGGGAUUUGACGGUUCCAAUAGGAUUGCAUAAUGAUUUUGGACUUGGGCGUGUGUUUGGAUCGGGCUUCGGAUGAUGUGAAAGCGUUUCGACGCUUAAUAUUGAAAGUUGGCGCAUUGAAGGUUUUUCAAGUUCUUUUAUUUUGGUUUGGAGUAGACUUUGGGGUUAUCAAGGUCCAUUUGGGAUUGCGAGCCUCAUAAUGGUUCCGUAUGGUGAUUUAUGACUUGCACGCAAAAUUUAGUGUCAUUCAGAGUAGUCUAGGUAUGAUUCGGCGUGUUCGGAGUAAGUUAAAAAUCUUGAAGUUCAUAGAUUUGAUUCGAAUUGGUUUUGGGGUGCAAUUCUUAGUUUUGAUGUUGUUUUACACGUUUUGAGGGUUCGAGCGAGUUUGUUUUAUGUUUACGAGCUUGUUGGAAUGUUUGGACGAGGCCCAGGGGCCUCGGGUGCUAUUCGGACGAUGCGCGGAGCAUGUUUGAACUUGGAAGAUUUGCUGAAGCAUCUGGGAUCUGGUUCAAUCGCACAUGCAUGGAAAGAGCCGCAGAUGCGAGCUCACAGAAGCGGCCUGGAGUAGGCUGGACAGUGGUCACAUAAGCGUAGUGUUUACUGCACAUGGGAGCUCGCAGGUGCGAGGAAAGGAUCGCAGAUGCAGGCGAGGCCAAAGAGGCCUGGCAUCGCAGCAGCGGAAGUUACUCCGCAGGCGCGAUUGAACAGAUGUGGCAAAUUUCGCAGAUGCGCAUGCGCAUGCUUCUCCGCAGAAGCGAACUUUGCCAAAAUUGGUGAUAACCGCACAUGCGAUGGAUUUUUCGCAAGUGCGACGUCACAGGUGCACCCCAAGGUCCGCUGGAGCGGAAAUCUCUUGGCAGUGAGGCCUUUUAAUCCGAGACUUAGGCCAUUUUUCCUCUCAUUUCAUUUGGUCUUGGGAGAUUUUGAGAGCACAUUUGAGGGGGAUUCAAAUCAAUAUCAUAAGGUAAGUAUCUCCCACCCAUUUUCAAGUUAAUUAUGUGGAUUUUAGGUAGAUUAAACAUGGAAGAACCUAAGGUUUUGGUAAAUUUGGGAUUUAAUCACGAAUUUGGUGAUGGAAAUGGGAGCAAAUUAUAUAUAUUUAGGUUCGGGAGUUCAUGGGUAACAUUUAUCUUCGAAGAUUUUCGGAAUCCGGGCACGUGAGCCCGGGGGUAAAUUUUAGGAAUCUUCCAAUUUGGGUUGGGUAAUUACUCUAAUAGCUAAAGUAUGAACGUUUAAGCAUAUAUUCACUAGUUUAUACGACUUUUGAUUAGUUUCGGAGUUCUCAAUGUUGUUUGGAGAGUCCUAGUGAGGUUGGAGAGCCAAAUUGAGGACUUGGAACCGAGGUAAGUCUCUUGCCUAACUUUGUUAGAAGGAAUGUAUCCCCUUAGGCGUAUUAUUGUUAUGUACUACUUGUGUGGGGAGCUACGUACGCACGAGUUGACGAGAGUCCGUACAUAGCUAUAUUUCAUGAUAUGUGUGGGUAGACUUAGAUUUACAUCAUGCUUUUUUGUAAGGGUGUUUAACGGGUGGGGCAGGCCGGUCCGGGUUGGGAAACAAAGUGACCGACGGGUUUCCAAUCCGGGCCGGUUACGAGUUUUUUAAUACCGGGCUUAACGGGUCCGGGUUCAUCCGGGUAAAAAAUAAACCGGAAGGGUUACAGGUCCAAGGGGCCGGGCCGGGUUAGUGUUAUUUUUUUUUAUAUUUUGUAUAACUAUCGUAAUUUAUAUUAAUAUAAAGUAAAAAUAUAAAAUAAAAAAAUAAUCUUAUAAAAAGAGUGUUUGGAUAAAAGGAUGCAAAGACUUUAAAAUAUUUAUAUUUGAAAUUUUGAAUAUUUCAUUAAGAAUUUAAGAUAAUAGAAUACAAUGAAGAUGGAAAAAAAAUUGCACUUAUAAUUUGCAAGUGCAUUUUUUAUUUCAAACUUACAAAUUGAAGUUUACAUUUAACAACAAGUAAAUUAACAAAAAAAGAGUAAAUUCAAAGGUUUUGCAUUGCCUUAGUAAGUUCUUCAUAAUCAAUAUGAACAUCUUGGCCAUCUUCCGGAGUGUUAAAUUCGGAUGGGUUACCAUGUAUUAAUAUAUCUCCAAGUUCUUCGUCUUCUAGUCUAUCAACAUCUUCACGCCCUUGAUUUCUUCAUUUUAUCAUGUUUCAUAAGUCCUCCAGUACUAGGGUUUAGAGUUCCUUUAUUUUGAUCUAAAUCAUAGCCUCAUUCUAUAGGAUGCUCAAUUCUCAUAUGUCUACUAAGUGUCCCAGUCCCCCCUAAUUGUCCUCCAGNNNNNNNNNNNNNNNNNNNNNNNNNNNNNNNNNNNNNNNNNNNNNNNNNNNNNNNNNNNNNNNNNNNNNNNNNNNNNNNNNNNNNNNNNNNNNNNNNNNNNNNNNNNNNNNNNNNNNNNNNNNNNNNNNNNNNNNNNNNNNNNNNNNNNNNNNNNNNNNNNNNNNNNNNNNNNNNNNNNNNNNNNNNNNNNNNNNNNNNNNNNNNNNNNNNNNNNNNNNNNNNNNNNNNNNNNNNNNNNNNNNNNNNNNNNNNNNNNNNNNNNNNNNNNNNNNNNNNNNNNNNNNNNNNNNNNNNNNNNNNNNNNNNNNNNNNNNNNNNNNNNNNNNNNNNNNNNNNNNNNNNNNNNNNNNNNNNNNNNNNNNNNNNNNNNNNNNNNNNNNNNNNNNNNNNNNNNNNNNNNNNNNNNNNNNNNNNNNNNNNNNNNNNNNNNNNNNNNNNNNNNNNNNNNNNNNNNNNNNNNNNNNNNNNNNNNNNNNNNNNNNNNNNNNNNNNNNNNNNNNNNNNNNNNNNNNNNNNNNNNNNNNNNNNNNNNNNNNNNNNNNNNNNNNNNNNNNNNNNNNNNNNNNNNNNNNNNNNNNNNNNNNNNNNNNNNNNNNNNNNNNNNNNNNNNNNNNNNNNNNNNNNNNNNNNNNAAAUGAGAGAAGAGUGAAGAAAUGAAGAAAAGGGGGGGGGAGAGGGGGGAGGGGGUGUAUUUAUAGUUUUUUAAAGGGCUAAAUUAGUAAUUACUAAAAGUGUUAUUUUUAAAAAAAUAUUCCACAAAAAAGGGCAAUUUUUGCAAUCCACCUAUUGGGCAACGGCCAAAUUGAAGCUGACUGUUGCCAACAGUAAUUUCACUUUAAAAAAAAAAUCAGAUUCAUAGCCGUUGAACCGGUCCGGGGCGGUUAACCGGUUCAACAGUAAUUUUCGUUGACCGGGUUUGACCGGUCCGGUUAGCUGGAUUUUAUUUUAUAAAUGGAGCAACCCCCCUAACCCAUCCCACCCAACCCCCUAACUACCGGUCCGAAAACGGGUCAACCCGACCCGUUUAACAUGCUUUUUUUUUGGUACUGUUUAUGCCCAUCAUGUGUAUUAAUUGUCUUGAUUAGAGCUGAGACUGGGGAUUUAAAUUGGAAUUAUCGACUUAGCUUCGUUUUUUAGAAAACUGGGAAUACUUGAUAAACUACUGAAAAUUCAUGUCUGCUCCUCUCGCAAGUACUUCCGCGCGCAAGGUAAAUUUUCUACUCAAAUGGGAUCGGGCCAUUCGCCUCGACAGUAUGAUAACACCACUCUUAUGGGAUCAGAUCGUUCGCCUCGACAGUAUGAUAACACCACUCUUAUGGGAUCGGGUCGUUCGCCUCGGCAGUAUGAUGGUAACACUAUUCUUAUAGGAUCGGGUCGUUCGCUUCGGCAACUUCAUACUUAAUAAUUGAAAUGGGUUCUGGUACAGGUAUAAUUGUGUUAGCACCUUCAUGGCUAGUCAUGAGAUGUUGGGAAUGUGAUACAUACUCCUAAUCUUAUUUAUGGUUGUUGCUCUUAUUUGUUUUAUUGAUACUUAUUAUAUACUCUCCAUGUCUACUUUAUGCACUUAUAUUAUUGUUAUUGACCUCUAGUAAGUGUCAAGUCGACCUCUCAUCACGUCUUCUUCAAGGUUAGACUAGAUACUUACUGGGUACGCAUUAUUUUUUGUACUCGCGGUACACUUAUGCACUGAUGUGCAGGUACUGAGACAGGUUCUACCAGUGGUCAUGCGGGCGCGUAAUCGAUCAUCUAAGGGGACUUAGAGGUGAGCUGCUUGCCUUGACUCGAUCCGCAACACCGGUGUCUCCUUCUACUUUAUUUAUCAUUCCUGUCUAUCACUUUUGGACAGUGGUCAGUAGUUUUGUAUAUUCUCUAGAUUUGCUCAUGUACUUGUGACGCUGGGUUUUGGAAAUUUGUAGCAUUUAUGUACUGUUGUACUCAUCAUUUCUAUCAUCGCAGAGUAUCUACUUAUUAUGUUGGCAUUUUAUUUAAAAAAAACUUGUCACUGUUGCAUGAAAUCUUGUUUAAAUUGUUCUCUAAAAAGGAAAACUUCUACAUUAAAUUGUUAAAGAGGGGUAAAUAGUAGUUACACUUGUGGGCUUGCCUAACAGCGACGUUAGGUGGAGUCUCGACCUAUUACGGAUUUGGGUCGUGACAGCUUGGUAUCAGAGCUUUAGGUUCACAUUGGUCUCACGAGUCAUGAGCAGGUCUAGUAGAGUCUUGCGGAUCGGUGCAGAGAUGUCUGUGCUUAUUUUCGAGAGGCAAUAUGGUGUUAAACUUCUUUUUCUUCAUCUCCUAUCGUGCAAUUGAUAUUAUACUAAGUGUCUUUUUAUUUAUCUCUCACAGAUUGUGAGAACGCGCGCGACAAAUGUACCAAACGGUCGAGGGACUGUUCUCCCCAUUGCUAGAGGCCGGGGAGGGCUCCAGCUACAGUUAAAGGUCGAGGGCGCCCUAGGGUUGCUCCUGUUGUACCAACAAUGGAUUCAAUGAAGGAUCCUGUUGUUGAGGAGCAGAAUGAGGCAUCUGCAGCUGUGCCAGCCCCAGCAGAUUUCAUGACUGUGCCGGGAUUCCAGGAGGUCAUGGGCCGUAUGUUGCGGUUCAUGCACUCUAUGAUGCAGGCUAGUUUAUUUCUAGCGGACCCUGUUAGAUCUCAGGCGGGAGGGAGAGCACAGACCCCUACCUCUUAGGCUCUAGGGCACGCCACUGUCGUUUAUUAGACCCCAGGUGCACUACUUGCGGGUGGAGCCCAGCCUGUUGCAGCGGUUAUGCCAGCGGUUGUAUCAGUAGUGACCAUUGAUCAGCAGAAGCGACUGGACAGAUGGACUAGGCUUCUCCCCUACCUUUGGGGGUGAGCGGUCAAAGGACCCCUAGGAUUUCAUUGACCGAUGCAAGGAUAGGCUCUAGAACAUGGGGAUAUUAGAGUCCAAUAGGGCGGACUUCACCACUUUUCAGCUUGAGGGAAAGGCCCUGUCACACCCCAAACUCGGGGAGCGCGACCGAUGCUCAACCGAGAGAACCCGACCGAGCAAGCCUGCUAGAUUUCCUUCUACCCAAACUCAUCCAUGUAUAAAGAGGAGAUGUACUCCAUUAAUUAAACACUUGAAAAGAUUUUAUUAACAACAUCCUUUUCAUUCCCAUUAGCAGCUUCAUACACAAUUUCCAAAAUAUUACGAGUUUAUAGAAUUAAUGAAAAACAUGAUUUCCAAAUACCAACAUUUCUAGUUCAAUUCCUAACAUCAACCACAACCCACAACCUGUCUACGGAGCCUCUAAGUACAAUAAAAGAAUAAUAUGGAAAUGCCGACAACAAGGCCCCGGCUAUACCUCAAAAUACAGUACAUGAGAAAUAAAAGAUACAUGACCCCAAAAUGAAGUGGGGCUCACUAAAUCAGCUGAAAAGAGUGUGCUGCUAUCACUGAUCAAUGCCGCCUGCUGUAGAACUACCUGCAUCCAUUUAAAGAUGCAACGUCCCAGCAAAAAGUGACAUUAGUACUGUCGAAUAGCACUAGUAUGUAUAGCUAAAAGUCCUCUUUCAAAAUAGAAUGCCCAUAUAAAUAAAAAGGCAAUACAUAGAAAUAACAAGUCACAAUCAAUAAUAUCCAAAUGUCUAGUUAAAAUAUAAUAAUUUUCAAAAUACGAACUUCAUAUAAAAUUUUGGUUGGGAGAUCAUUAGCACCGAUAUACCACCGUCUUUGUUAGCACGGAGUCCGAUCACGCCCGAUUGGCUAGGUCAUCUCCCCACGGACAAUGUGGUUUGACAAGUGAUGCGAAAGAAAGUUGUUACCAAGAGUAGUACCACCAUAUGCGCAAUAUGACGUCUAAUCUCCACCCGAUCAGCUAGGCCUCCUUCCCACAUAUGCCGUGUGGGUUGACUUUUCCAAUCCACAAAGGUUCCUGUUUCAUCCCAAUUUAGGGAAAUAAUAUCACAAUUUCCCAAAGAUUCUAAUUUCAUCCCAAAUAAGGGGAAUAAUCACAAUCCACCCCUACACCGGCACGUGUAGUUUCAGGUGUGAGCCUUAUGACCCACCCUUCCUCGGUUUAGCUAAUGAUGCUCCCAAAAAUAUUUUUGAUUUGAUUUGCACACAGAGAUAUCAUAAAUAUAAUUGUACUCACCUCAACAUCUUUCACAUUGUAUAAAUUCUCAUUAGUAUUUCCAGUCAUUCAUAACGAUAAUAUUUCCUUGGCUCAUUAGGCCAUCCACAAGAUUCUUUAUUCCUGGCACGAUGGCCUUAUUUCAUAUUCCACACUUUCACCUCUUUCAAUUUCAAGAUCACCAUCAAAUAUCAACAUAUAGAAUAUUUCAGAAAUUACAACUUUAAGUUCAUUAGAAAUGAACAAUUUAAGCACAAUAGAUUUCUUUCCGAAAAAUGGAGUAAAAUAAUUAGCAAUUGAUGCGCAAGUUCAAAUCAUCAACAUGUGACACCCCAUUUAUUCUUGAAAUACUUUUCCCCAAAAAGGGAAAUACACAAUUUCCACUCACGAACAUGUAAGAAUGCAAAACACAUUGAAAAUACUCACAAAGCAUAGUAUUUGUUAAAACAACCACAUAUGGCAUAACUUGAGUACAAAAGCCUUUAGGCAAUUCUAUUUUCGAAAUCGUUUUCAAACAAUCGAUUCGAGGCUCAUUUCAUAUUCUUUAUUUCAUUCUCUCAAAUCAUUUGCACUACUAGCCACAUUCGUAACUUAAAUUCUUGGCACAUUGGCCACACACUAUAUUUCCAAUUCAAUUAUUUUAUUUCCAACCACCUUUAUAGGUUAUCAACAAUAAUACAUUUCCAAUCAAGAUUUUAGGUACACAUAUGAGCAAUUACGAGUCUUAAGAAUAUUGAGAUUUUCUCACACAAUUUGGCAUACUAGCUUUCAUUUGAAAUACGAUUCAAAGCCACAACAUUUUAAUACGUAACCCAUACUUUGAAUCUCACGGGAACAUUAUGGAGUUCGAUUCCAAAAGAGAAAGUUUAGCCAACAUACCUCAAUCGAGCUUCCUUAACUCUAAAAUAUUCCGGAAAUUCUUAGCAAUCCCGAUCUAUUUUGAGACAUAACAAAAUUAAACCAUAAUUAGGAAGAUAUUCAUGGUCUCAGCUCAUUUGAGCAUUUUAUCAAACACUGUGCAAAUUUAACUAUAAGGUUCUUCUACAAGAUUUCCUUCACUCUAGAACCCAAUCCUUACUUAUUUAAGCUCAACAAUCUUCCCACAAUUAUUAUUGGUACAUGCAUAUAUAAAUAAUGCUCUCAUACCCAUGAAUCAUACUCCUAAUCAACUAUCUUAUACCCAAAUUCGAAAUUGAAAACUAGGGUAUGGAACCUUACCUCUUAGAUGAAGAACUUGUGGAUUUUCCUUGUUAAUCUUCCAAGAUUUGAGCAAGACUUGAUGAAUAAUUAGCCUAGGGUUUCCUCUCUCAAACACUCUCCCUUCUUUCUAAAACAUCAGAAUUUUUUUUUUCAAAAAUGACCCUUUGCGUGUAUUUAACGAAGUUGGGUCGGGUUGUAAAAACCCAAAAAUAGAGCUCCGGAACAAGUUCUGCGGUCGUAUAAUUUCUGAACAAAAUGACCAAAAAUCUACCUGAGUCUACGGUCACUAUGCGGUCGCAUAGUCGACCGCAUAAUUGCUUCCAUACUGACCCUCUUCUGCCCCACUUCUGCGGCCAUUAUGCGGCACGCAGAGUGAUUCUGCGGUCGCAUAAUGGAUCGCAGAAACGCAUUUUUCCGCCAAAAAUUUUCCUUUACUUUCCGGUAUAUUGUUCAACCCAAAAGGUCUGAACCGCGGUUCACAAGCUCGCCGCAAAGAUUUUAUAAAAUCCUCAAAUACGUAAGCCUACUCCGGCACCACGAAACCUUGAAUUCAUUUGCGAAAUUUAUGGGGCUUUACAAUGAAAUACUUUGAAAUUUUCCGGGGUGUUAUAGGCCCGUAGAUUGUGGUAGGCUUACCUUCUUAGCAGGCUAGGAGGUUCACCUCCCUUGACUUGGGAUCAGUUUACACAUCUGUUCUUAGAGAAGUACAUACCACCUUCUGAGAGAGAUGAGCUUAAGGGUCGGUUUGAGCGACUCCGUUAAGGUCACAUGUCUGUCACCGACUAUGAGGCAAGAUUCACUAACUUGUCUCGCGAUGCAGCUAUUAUACUCCUCAGUGACGUAGAGAGGGUGUGGAGGUUCAUUGCAGGUCUACAUCUUGAGAUUAAGGUACUUAUGGCUCGUGAGGCAGAGAUGGGGACUUCUUUUCUUCAGGCUAUGGAUAUAGCUCGGAGGAUCGAGCGUAUUCGCAACCGCAGUGGAGAGUUUGCGUCGAGGGACAAGCGGCCCCGACAGUUUGGAGGAUUCAAUGGUGUCCCACAUGGGGUUAGAGGUCAGUUCAUGAGGGGUCAACCCAGCAGGCCCAUGCAGUCAGCACCACCGCCUGUUCGGAGUGCUCCGGCACAAUCCUAUUUCAGUGUCAUUUCAGAGAGUACUUACCGCCUGCCAGCUAUUUAGGGUUUCGCCAGUGGGUAUUCAGUCCAUCUGGGUCAUUUUUUAGGUCAGCAGUCCACUUUUUUGAGGGGUUGUUUCGAGUGCAGAGAUCUUGGCCACGUGAAAAGGCUUUGUACUAGACUUUGGGGCAAGGCUGAGCAACAUGAUUAUUGGCCCAUAUUUACCGCACUAGCUACCGCAACGCCCGCCCGUCCGGCCAGAGGCAGAAGGCAAGCGGCCAGGGGUCAUCCUAGAGGUGGAGGCCAGUUAGGUGGUGCUCCGGCUAGAUUCUAUUCUAUCUCUGCUAGGCUAGAGACAAUCGCCUUUGAUGCAGUGAUCACAUAUACUAUUUUUGUUUGGCGGAGGGAUGCCUCAGUAUUAUUUGAUCCAGGGUCUACUUACUCCUAUGUUUCUUCUCUAUUUGCUCCUUAUUUGGAUCUGUCUCGCGAGUUCUUGGGCGUUCCUGUAUAUGUGUCCAUGCCAGUGGGUGACUGUUGUUGUGGAUUGGGUCUACCGAUCUUGGGUGGUGACUUUCUGUGGAUAUGAGACCCAAGCGGGUCUUCUAUUGCUCGAUAUGGUUGAUUUCAAGGUUAUCUUGGGCAUGGAUUGGUUUUCCCCGUACCAUGCCAUUCUUGAUUGCCAUACCAAGACUGUUACCUUGGCGAUGCCUGAGUUGCCCAGAUUAGAGUGGACAGUGGCGAAGCUAGAAAAUUCAACAAGGGUGUUUAAACCUUUGCCAGUGGGCUAUGUAAGGGUGUUCAAAGUCUAUUUUUAAUCAAUAACAAGUAAUAUUUUACCUUAUACGGAGUAUAAUUUUUUGGCGAAGGGUGGUCAGUUGACCACCCUUGGUUGCAUGUAGCUUCGCCCCUGAGAGUGGAGGGGUUCGUCUAUCGGUACUUUCAGCCAGGUUAUUUCUUUUUUUAAGGCUCGACAUAUGAUCGAGAAGGGUUGUUUGGCCUGCUUAGCCUUUGUUCGGGACGCUGCUGUAGAGAUUCCCACUUUAGAUUUAGUGCCGGUGGUACGAGAGUUUUCCGAUGUAUUUUCGACUGAUCUACUAUGUAUGCUUCCAGAUCGGGAUAUCAAUUUCAGCAUUGAUUUGGUGCGGGACACCCAACCUAUUUCUACCUCGCCUUAUCAUAUGGCUCCCAAGGAGCUGAGAGAGUUAAAGGAGCAUCUUCAGGAGUUGCUUGAGAAGGGGUUCAUUAGACCUAGUGUGUCGCCUUGGGGCGCACCAAUGUUGUUUGUGAAGAAGAAAGACAAGAGUAUGCGGAUGUGCAUUGAUUACCACUAGUUGAACAAAGUCACCAUCAAGAAUAAGUACCCGUUUCCGCGCAUUGAUGAUUUUUUUGACCAAUUUCAGGGUGGCAGGGUGUUCUCUAAGUUCGACUUGAGAUUUGGGUAUCAUCAGCUGAAGAUUCGUGCUUCAGAUAUUUCGAAGAUGGCCUUCCAGACUAGAUAUGGUCACUAUGAGUUUUUGGUGAUGUCCUUCGGCUUGACUAACGCCCCGACGACAUUAUUGGAUUUGAUGAACUGAGUGUUCAUGUCGUAUCUUGAUUCAUUUGUCACUGUCUUCAUUGAUGACAUAUGAUCUACUCGCAUAAUAUGGAGGAGCAUGAGCAACAUUUGAGAUUAGUGCUUCAGACCUUGCGGGAGUAGAAGCUUUAUGCUAAGUUCUCCAAGUGUGAGUUCUGGUUGGAUUCCGUGGCUUUCUUGGGGAAUGUUGUAUCAGGUGGUGGUAUUAACGUGGAUCCCAGGAAGAUUGAGGCAGUCCAGGGUUGGUCGUCCUACCACGGCAACUGAGAUUAGGAGUUUCAUGGAGUUAGCUAUGUAUUAUCGUCAGUUCGUGAAGGGUUUCUCGUCUAUUGUAGCGUCUUUGACUAGAUUGACCCAAAAGGGUGCUCCGUUCAGAUGGUCCGAUGAUUUUGAGGCGAGCUUUCAGAAGCUCAAGGCGACUUUGACUACAACACCAAUUUUAGUGUUGCCUUCCGGUUCAGGGAUGUAUACUAUAUAUUGCGACGCUUCACGCAUUGUCCUGGGUUACUAAAGGACUAUGAUAUUACCAUCCUCUAUCAUCUGGGCAAGGCGAAUGUGGUUGCAGAUGCCUUAAGCAGAAAGGCUGAGAGUAUGGGUAGUUUGGCAUUUAUUUCAGUAGAGGAGAGGCCAUUGGCUUUGGACAUUCAGUCCUUAGCUAACAGACUUGUGAGGUUGGAUAUUUCUGAGCCCAAUCGAGUUCUUGCAUGCGUAGUGGCUCAGUCUUCAUUACUUGAUAUGAUCAAGGCUCGCCAGUACGAUGAUCCGCACUUGUUGGUUCUCAAAGAGACGGUACUACAAGGUGGUGCCAAGGAGGUUACUAUCGGAGAGGUUGGUGUUCUACGGCUCCAAGGUCGCAUGUGUGUUCCUAAUAUUGAUGGCUUGAGGGAGAUAAUUCUAGAUGAGGCGCAGCGUUCUCGGUAUUUUCUUCAUCCAGGGGCUACGAAGAUGUAUCGCGACCUGCGGCAGCAUUGUUGGUGGCGGUGAAUGAAGAAGGACAUAGUUGAGUAUGUGCCAAGAUGUCUAAACUGCCAGCAGGUCAAGUAUGAGCACCAGAGGUCAGGUGUCCUACUUCAGCAGAUGGUUAUACCAAAAUAGAAAUGGGAGCGCAUCACUAUUGACUUCGUUGUUGGGUUGUCGCGGACGUUGAGGAAGUUUGAUGUUGUUUGGGUCAUUGUCGAUAGGUUGACCAAGUCGGCACAUUGUAUUCUAGUGGUGACUACUUACACUUCAGAGAGGUUGGCCUACAUUUACAUUCAGACGAUUGUCAGGUUGCAUGGUGUGCAUGUUUCCAUCAUAUCAUAUAGAGGCCCUCAGUUUACUUCGCAUUUCUAGAGGGCAGUGCAGAGUGAGUUGGGUACCCGAGUAGAGCUCAGCCCAUCUUUUCAUCCGCAGACCGAUGAGCAGUCGGAGCGUACAGUUCAAAUUAUGGAGGAUAUGCUCAGAGCAUGUGUCAUUGACUUCAGAGGUUAGUGGGAUAGAUCUUUGCACUUGGCUGAGUUUGCUUACAACAACAGUUAUCAGUCCAGCAUCGAGAUGGCUUCAUUUGAGGCUUUAUAUGGUCGGCGAUGUCGUUUGCCCAUCGGAUAGUUUGAUCUCGGCUAGUGAAGGAUGUUUCAGGAGCAAUUUCGCACAACACAGUCCACGUAGAAGAGUUACAUGGAUCAGAAGGCGCGUGGUUUAUAAUUUAUGGUGGGAGAGAAGGUUCUCUUGAAAGUUUCGCCGAUAAAGGGAAUCAUGAGGUUCGGGAAGAAGGGCAAGCUGAGCCCAAGGUUUAUUGUGCCAUUUGAGGUGUUGAGGCGAGUUGGGGAGGGUGCUUAUGAGCUUACUUUGUCUCUUAGUCUAUCGGGAUAUCAUCUGGUCUUCCAUAUGUCUAUGCUCCGUAGGUAUCAUGCCAAUAGGUCGCACGUGCUAGAUUACAACAUGGUUCAGCUAGAUGAGAGCUUGGGUUAUGAAGAGGAGCCAAUCGCCAUCGUUGACAGGCAGGUUCACCAGUUGAGGUCCAAGAUGAUUGUUGCGGUAAAGGUCCAGUAGAGGGGUCAACCAGUCGAGGUAGUGACUUGGGAGGCCGAGGAAGACAUGAUAAGCAGAUAUCCGCACCUUUUCAGCACUUCAGGUAUGAUUCUAGACUCGUUCAUAUUAUUGUAUCCUAACAUGAGGACCUGCUCAUAUUAUGGUAAAAUGGCCUCCUGGCCACUUAAACUUGUACCCAAUUGUCAUGCCGGUAAAUAAACUUUCAAAAUUCCCAUAUGAAUACUUCAACUUGAGCAUAAGUGAACUAAUAAACACCUCCGACAGUUGAAUAAAUCUACGUGGCAUCAGUUAUUCCUAGUCAGUUGUUGUGUGUGUAAGACACACCUGGCAGGAGCGUGAAUGUUAUUUUUUCAAUGCCCAACGGUAAUAAAACCAAGGGCCCAUCUAUUUAGAGGGCUUUUUCUUACUCCUUUGGCCUACAACCUCCAUUUUUUACUUAUACAAGCUCCGAAUUUCUUCUUCUCUUCAAAUAUUUUACAGAUUCAAGUCAAUUUUUUUCUUCUCUAGGUUGAUAUUUUAUUCUUCAGGCCAAGAAUGCAAUGAAAAAUCGUGUAGUUUGUCAUUGUAGAGUUGACAUUGUUGUGUGUAUAACCUGGAAGCCCACCAAUCUGGGUAGAAGGUUCUUAGGAUGCUCAAAUUAUGGUACAACUAGUUGCUGUAAUUGUUUCAGGUGGGUUAACCCACCUUUUCUAGAUCAUUACAAAUAAGUAAUUUCGGGAUUGUUAUCAAGAAUUCGUGUCAAUGAGCAGCGAAGGAGUAGGGGAAAACAAUAUGUAAUUGCAUUUGUUAUUGCUGCACUGCUCUUUGUAGUGUUAUUCUUAACUUGGGAUCUUUGUAUUGUAUGAUUAUUCUUAACAAACAAUGACAAUGUCAAGUGUAUGAAGUAUUUUGCUGCAAUGAAAAGUGAUGUUUGACAUUAACAUCUGAACAUAUAUUAGACAAGUUCAAAACAACCAUUUUGAUUAUCAAAAGUACGCCAUCAAAUCUGCACACUAGCAGAAACCAGUUUACUAUUGUGCCUAAAACCAAACCAAAACAACAUUAACUAAGUUCUGAAUAUUUCAGACUAAAUCUUUCACAAAAUAAUUUACAAAUAAGUUUUGAUACUAACAGACUUAAACUUUCACAAAAAGAAAUAUUUCUUCAAAUCAUUAUGGCUUAGACAGGUUGAAGUUGGACUGAGAUUGGUUCAGGUUUGGUUGAGUUGAAGAAGGAGCUUCAGAUUGGCUUAGGGUUGCUUGAGUUUAUCUCCUUCUAGCCUGUUGUUGAAGCUGCAUUUAUGUUACUGCAUUUGUUCCUUUCUACCUUAGUCGAGAUGCUCUAUAUCCAAGAUCAAUAUUGGUCUGACUAGCACCAAUUAUUUGCCUAGGAUCAUGUGUGACUUUGUCCCUUAACCCAAACUACAUUCAAAUAGAAAUAAAAUUUCAAAACUUAGUAUAGUAAUUAGACAUAAUAAUUGGACAAAGUUUCACAUACUUACCCUUUCUAUGACUGUCCCUGAUUCACCAAACAAUAUUCCAAAUACAGCAGUCCUAGGCCUUCCACCUAAAGUUCUAAGAAUUUGUUGAGGAGUCCUUGAUCUUUCUUAUGUAGUUCUAGAUUGUUGUGUUCCUGAUCCACCAUCAUCAGUAGUUCUAGAAUUUCUUUGUGUUGUAGAUCUAGCUGUUGUAGUAGUAGUAGAUUAUUGUGCUGCAGAUCCACUACCAGCAAUAGUACCAGAAUGACCUCCUGAUGCAGUUGUAGUAGCCUGGACAUUUGCAGUACUACUCUCAGUACCAACAGUUGAACUUUGCCCUUUCUAAAACACCCAGAAUAUAAAAAAAAUUCAGCAAAAGACUAAAAAAUACUUAAAGCAUAAGGAGUAUUUGUUUCUUACCAGGAUUGCACAACCUUUCUUGUUGUCUUGCAAUGAGAACAGGUCAUUGGUGUCCCCUUCCUUGAUCUCUUACCAAAUUUCUUUGUAGGUUCAUCUUGAGCAUUCCUUCUAUGUUUCUUAGGUCUACCAGGUAUCUUAGUAAUUACAGGAGUCUCAACUUUGGGGUUUUGAGUUGGAGGCCAUAUCUCCAUGUUGAUCAUAGGUUGAAUGUAACAAUUCAAUGCCUUGAGGUAUGUUUCCUUCUUAUACCAAUGCUCAACAUAGUUAGCAAUGUCAUACCUUUUUAAAAAAAUCACAAAGUAUAUGGGAGCAGGGUAUGCUUUUCAGCUGCCACAUUCUACAUGUGCACUCUUUCUUUACAAAAUCAACUAUGUGUUUGUAAAUUUCAUCUUGGAUCUCAAAUCUAGUGUCCCCAUUCCAUUUAAAAUCAUGCUUGGUGGCUCUUAUAGAUUACUCUUCAAUGUACCCCAUUGCCAUAUGAGAUAUAUCAUAAUUCCACUUUGUAGCGAAUUCUCUCAUAUUAGUCAUUCUCUCCGUUACCUUCACUCUGAUCUCUUCCAACAUGGUUAUGAUUGACUUGUUCCUAGAAGUAGGUAUCAAACUGUUGAAGGUCUCACACAUAUUAUUCUCCACAAUAUCACACUUACUACGGUCUUUAAAAAAGGCCUUGCACCAUGACUGUUUGGGAUAUCUAAGCAAGUCUUCUAUUAUCUUAUUGCCACCAAAUUCUGCUAACUCAUCUAGUUUAGCCUUCAGAAAUGCUUCAUAUGAAGCUCUUGCACAACCCCAGAAUUUCUUCCUUAUUUCCUCACCACUCUUGGUUUUCUUCCAGUUGCUCCAUAUGUUCCUUGCACACAUUCUAUGCUCUGUAUUUGGCAUCAAUUCAGAUACAGCUUGAACAAGUCCCUUGAAUAACAAAAAUACAAUGUUAGAGUUCAUAUAAUGCAACCUUAAGUAUUAAAGUAAAAUAUGAGAUUAAAACAAUACAUAUACCUUCUGCAUAUCAUACAUAAUUGUUAGUCCUUCACCUUCAGAUUCUGUCAGUUUCAAGUCCUCCAUUAAACACCUAAAAAACUAUGACCCACUGUUCUUGGUCUCUUUCUCAACCACUGUCCAAGCAACAAGGUACAUCUGGUUAUUACCAUCCUUCGUAAUGCAUUACAAUAGCUCACCUUUACACACUCCCUUCAGAAAUACACCAUCAAAGCCAAUUACAUUUCUACACUCUUCUAACCAAUUUGUUUUCAAAGCAUGCAAACAAAUGUAUAUCCCCAUAAAAACCUCUUUACUAGGUUCUAUUUCUUUUGAAGUCCUCACCACAACAGUGCUGCUAGGGUCAGUAGUUCUUAUCAUGUCAGCAUAAUCAUAAAUCCUAACAAACUCCAUUAUGUCUAGCCCUGUCACAUAUUGUUUUUCCUACAUACACACCAUAUGUAAUCCUUAUCAACUCUUGCAACUUCUUAAGCUUUAUGUCAGGCUGAUUAACUCUUUGUAAUGUUUAACUAUCCAAGUUGUGUUAGCAAGCUUGUUCCUUGUGACUAGGAAGCAUGAAUGGACAUGGUAGUAUGUGUUAACAAUGAAGUUCUCUGUGUGGCCCUGUAAACUGUCUAAAAUAUGCCAUCUACAUCUGCUAGAGUUCAAAUAUGUUGCCCUGACCCUAUUCCUCUCAUUUGGUCUCAACUUUAACUGAACUCUCCUCUAUACAACAUAUUCUUGUAAAGCAGAUCUAAAUUGUCUAACAUUUUCAAAGACAAUUCUCAGUUGGAAAAUAAUUUUCUUACAGUUAAGGUCAAAGUAGACCUUUCUACUGUGUCUUCUUGGAGGAAGGUUCCGCACCUCAUCAUCUGCAUCUACAUCAUCAUCAGUACUAUCCUCACUCCUUGGAUCUGAACUGUCUAGGUAUUGCUCAUCCCUCCCAAUUUGCCAGCAUAUUUAGCAUUCUUGUCCUUGUAAAUGUCUUAAAAUCCAAGGUCAAUGCCUACUGGGCCACUAGGUAUCUCAUCUACAUUAACAUCACUAGAUCUCUCUAUCCAGUUCUUCUAAUUUACUUUGGUCUGUCUAGCAGCAACAAGGUCAUCUUCUAUAUUACUAGUCUCUCCAACAACAUCCUCAUCAGCAUCAUAAAGUGACUCAUAUAUAUCCUCUUCAGCAGAAACACCCAUAUAUUCACCAUCCCCACUCUCAGAAUUACUCUCAAAUUCAUCACAAUUUGAAUCUGUGGCUAGAUGAAAGUUGUAGAACUCCCCUUCAUCCUCAGUAGACUCUUCUAUAUCAGCAACCCUCCCUUUACCCUUCCCUUUAGUGAAACAACCACUAUUUAUAUCAUUGGUAGGUGAGUUUAUUUUCCUAACAUUAACUCUACUUGUUUGCCUUUGUGGAACAUCACCAAAGACAGUUGUUUGGUUAUAUGGAAUAUCACUGGGGUCCACACCACUACUUAACAUUUCAUUCAAUUUAUUAUCAACACAUGGUAUAUUAAUAGUGUGACAUAAAUAAAUCCAUUAAUAAAAUCCCCAUCGCGAAGGUCUUUGUAGAAUUCUAACACAUCAGCAUUAUACUUAAUAAAUUAAAAUGUUCCUUUUUAUUGACUUGAUAUGCAAAUUUCUCCACACCUAAGUACCCCAUAUCAUUUGCCAAUUUAGCCAUUUGCUGAAUUGAAUAACAUGAAAUUCAUCAGUGUCAGCAGUUACAAUAGUAGGCCGUGUUAUACCAUUUUCAUACCUCAUUAAUGGGCCAGCUACCAGUUGUCCCUGAUGGUGAAAUUAUAAUUUCACAAAAACAACCAUCCUGCCUCACCUCACUACGCCUAUGGAGAAGAUAAGAUAAGUCCAAAUCAGUAAAAUAUUCAAAAGAAAAAGACAAUAUUGUCUGAACACGUCUUUGAAAAAUAACAAGCAAAUGCAGGAAAAGAACCCUAACUUUAUCACUUUAAGAGGCAAAAAUUUUCGAUAUGAUAAAAAGCCCUAUAUGCCAAAUCAGCCAUGGAACCGACAAAAUUCAGAUAAAAAAUAAGAAUUUAAUGUGUUAUUCCAAAAAUCCCUAAUUUUAAACCCUAAAUAACGAAAGAACCAUUGCAUACAUACAAAAUAUUAUCUAUCAUGACCAACUUUAAUAACGCAUAAAAAUACAAGAAAACAACCAGAAAUAUGAAAGACAACAAUCGAACCUUUAAUGACUUCUAUAUUUAUGGUGGAAGAGAAAUCAACGGUACACGAAAUACUCAGAUUCUUGUUUUGGGAUCGAUUUUGAAAGAAAUAUAAGCACAAUGUUUAGAUGCUCUAAUGGGCGGAAAAUCCUAUGACAAUCGUUCACUCCAUUUGAGCGGACGAUUUAAAAUGUUAGAGUUCUUUGAGAGAGACGACUGAGAAUGAAAAUGAAAUGAGUGCUUAGGUAAAAAAUGAAUGGGAAAUAAGUCAGUGCUUAGUGGGUUUUCGCGCCUAACACGUGGUUGGUUUUAAUUCGUUUAUUGCUGAAUGGGUUGCCAUGUUUGUGAAAUAGUAAUGCACGCGCUAUGAUUCAACUGUCAGAGGUGUUUAUUAGUUCACUUAUUCUCAAGUUGAAGUGUUCAUUUGGGAAUUUUAAAAGUUUAUUUACCGGCAUGCCAAUCGAGUACAAGUUGAAGUGGCCAGAAGGCCUUUUUGCUUAUUGUUAUUGACUUCUAGUAAGUGUCAAGUCGACCCCUCGUCACUACUUCUUUGAGGUUAGACUAGAUACUUAUUGGGUACGCAUUAUUUUUCGUACUCUCGCUACACUUCUGCACUGAUGUGCAGGUACUGAGACGGGCGCGUAGCCGAUCAUCUACGAAGACUUAGUGGUAAGCUGCUUGCUUUGCCUCAAUCCGUAGCACCAGAGUCUCCUUCUACCUUAUUUAUCAUUCGUGUCUAUCACUUUCAGACAGUGGUUUUAGUAGUUUUUGUAUAUUCUCUAAAUUUACUUAUGUACUUGUGACGCCCGGUUUUGGAGAUUUGUAGCAUUUAUGUACUGUUGUACUCGUCAUUUCUAUCAUCGCAGAGUAUGUACUUAUUAUGUUGGCAUUUUGUUUAAAAAGACUUGUCACCGUUGCAUGAAAUCUAGUUUAAAAUGUUCUCUAAAAAGGAAAAUUUUCAUAUUAAAUUGUUAAAGAGGGGUAAAUAAAUAGUAGUUACACUUGUGGGCUUGUCUAACGGCGGCGUUAGGUGCAGUCUCGACCUAUUACGGAUUUGGGUCGUGACACUCCCAUAAUCAAGUUAUUUGCUGCCUUAUCUCAAUUUCAACGCUAAGUCUUGCAUUUUAUUUAGUUUAUUUAUCAUUUUGGGAUCAAAUCGAUCAGCGUGUCUAUAAACCACGUUACAAAUUUAACUGUACCGUUUUACAGGUAAACAAUGAGCACACAAAAAAAAGUUCUUCCUUCAUCUUAGUAUACAUGACAUUAUUUUACUUUAGAACUUCCUAAAAAGUUAAUCAUUGUUACUAAUGAUAUUUCUUUUUAAAUAAUUUACACAAUUCAAAUUUAUCUAAUCAUUCAAAAUUUAAAAUGUAAUAUGAUAUUUGUUACUAUCUAAAUAAAUUUUCAACCACCAUUUUUAACGUUUUCUUCCUAAGUACUGAUAUAUAAAUCAAAAGGAACUUUUAAUGUUCUUGUCCUGCUAAACUCCGUUACUCCACCAUAUAAAAUCAGAAUAAAGAAAAGAUUAAUUUUUUGCACAAGAUGAAAGACUCGUGAUGUUACUUUUUGUAUAGAUAAUUUAUAGGUAUUUUGAGGAGGACAAGCAUAACUAGCAAGAUCAAGUUACACCGGGUUUCAACAUCUAGAGAUAAUUCAUUUUGAACCAUAUAAUUUAACUGCAGCUUCGCAUUUGUUAUUUUUGCAUACAUAUUGCGCAGAGGCGAAGCCACACUGGUAAGGGUGGUUAAUUGACCAUCUUUCGUCGGAAAAUUAUAUUGUAUAUAUAAGUAAAAUAACAGGUUUUAGAUGUAUAUAACAUAUAUUGAACAACCUUUGUCCAAAAUUAUUUUUACUUUUUUUAAGUUUGAACACUCUUGAAAUUAUUUCUGGUUUAUCAUAAUGUAUAACAUAAUUAUAAUGUGCAUAUUAAAAAGUAUAUCAAAUUUUUAUUUUCCUUCUGUGUAUAACACAAUUCAGAUUGAAAACUCAAGUUUUAAGACGACUCCACCUGUGUUUCCCCGUUGUAUCCCGUGUAUAUCAACAUGUACAUAAGUGAAUCUCAUGUAUAUCAUGUGUAUCUGUAUAUAUACAUGAAAAUCUAUGUUAUAUUACAUGAUAUAUAUAUCCAUGAAAAUUUGUGUUAUAUCCAUAAAAAAUUGUGUUAUAUACACGAUAUACAAAGUUAUAUCCACUGACAUCCAUAAAUAUUUGUGUGCAAUAUACACUGAUGUUGAUAUACAACGUGAUACACACAUGUCACAGCUGGAUUUUUAGGUCUAAUUUUUUUACCCGAAACCAGUCUAAAUUACUUCUAAUCUUGCUCAAAUUUUGUAAAACCAAUUUCAAUCACACUCACUCGUUCAAUCCAACAAAAAAAGAAGAGAAGAAAACAAAGUUGAACUCUAUUUUUUCCUAUUUUUUCUCUUAGUUUUUGGUUCUGAUUUUCUCUGAUGUGAGAUCAAUCUUACCUUUUCAUCCCAUUGAUUUUUUGUUGUUGCAUAAUUUGCAAUAAUUUUUACUAAACCAUGAGAGAGAAAGCGGAGAGAUACAAGAAGAAAUAUAAGAAGAGAAAGGGAGAGGUGUAUUGAUGGGAAAAAAGACAUGACACGUGGACUAUAAACAAGGUGAUAUGGCAUGGUACAUGGAACAUCGAUAUAAUGACAAGUGACAUUCUUAAUUAGAUGAGUUAAAGAAAACAUAAAAGGCACGGGAGAAACACCCAGGGGUUAUACCGAGAAAAAAGCCGGACCUGCAGUUGUAAAAAAGAAAAACAUGAACGAAAUGAAUAAAGACUGUAAAGAAGGGAAGAUACACGAACCUGUCAUAAAUAAGGAAGGAAAAUCGGUACAGUUACAAGAAAUAUUUAAUUAUAAAUGUUUAUGUUACAUUUGUAUAUGGUAACGGGCAAUCAAGGCAAUUAAUACCAUUAGUGAGUCCGAAUUAAGUAAGGUAACCGUUAUAAUUGUAUGCUCCUAUAUAAGAAUUGAAAUCUCAUUUGUAAUAGAAGAGACAAUUAUUGAAAUUUAUGCAAUCAUUCUUUACUUUAUUCUCAAAGUUCUAAACCAGUGAUUACCAAUCCAUUUCAUAUUUUCUUUGUUAGUUAUUUCUAUUCCUUGAUUCAUCCUUCAAAUUGUUGGGAAAGUGAAGUAAUUCUUGGUUAUCAGUAAUCCGAUUUCUUCUAGAAAUUGACUUUGGCCGAGAAAUCUAUUUUCGGAUUAAACAAGAGGAAAAAGAAAAAAAUACGUAGGUUAUAGCAAGAGAGAGGGAUGGAAGUUAUAGAGAGAAAAUAAAUAGAAAGUAGUCUUUUCUAAAUUUGGCUCUACAAUAUCAAUUUUCUGGGGGCUGCCCUUGCCAACAUAACCAAUCAAUUUCUCUUUUAUGUUGUUACCCGGUGUCAAUUUCCCAGGAAAAUGUUCAUUCGUUAUACUAGCAAUUCAAGAAGUGAGAGAGAUAAGAUCAAAGGUUCUCCCAUAGUGCUCCUGUGAGUUUAAGCUCUCAAAAAAUGCACCUAAGAUUAAACAUUUUGAAUAGACUCGUAUUGAGUAUUUAGAUUUUUUAAUCAUGUCAAACCAAGGCCAAUCAGGGUUCGACAGAACGCUUGACUUUAGUAAAUGAAUCACAAUUACAUGUUCGUGAGAGUAUACAUUAAUAGAAUGAAUAAAAUAGAAACAUUACAUAAGCCACUAGGGACCGAGAGAAAACGAGCAACACCUUGGAUAAGCCGGUUGUAAUUAUUAGAUAUUAAGUUUCAUUUUGAGCCGAUAAUAGCCACAAUGCCUCUCCUUUUUUCACAUAGUUAAUGUGAAAUAGAGAAGCCCCGGCUCCAAUAAGAUAGCAGUGAAAACAAAUUCUAAGAUUUAAAUUCGUGAAACUAUAAUUUAUAUGUGGUAUUUUAGGUGUUGAAUUGUUCUUUUGCAGACGCCCAACCCGUUUAAUCAAAAAUAUUUAUUAGAAAAUAGGAGAGAAAGAAAUAUGGUAAAAGGAAAAGAUUUUAAUAAAGAUGAUAAUUUGGUCCAAGAGAAGCGUUAGUACAAGAUGCCAUCUACAAAGAAAUUGAGAAAAUGUCUAUAGUGACUCAUUAAGCAUCUCCUAUGUUCUUCCUCUUCAAAUUUGUUUGAAUUGUAUUCAGAAAAUUGCUAGGACUUUUGGAAAGAAGCAAGGAAAAUUUGAUAAAGUACAUGAGGUUUUUUUCUUUUUUUUUCGAGUUAUUGAUUUUUAUUGAAAAAAGAAUACUUGCAAGCAGCGACGAAUGCAUGAUUUCGGUUAAAGGGGUUCAAAAAAGAAAAAAAGUUAAAUCAUUAAAAGAAAUUGUAGCCAGUAAAAAUUAAACCAAUGGCAUCACAAAGGUUUUAAACCCCUUUAACCACUAAGUUAUGUUUUGGGCCAUGUCAAGAAGAUUCAAAACAUAGUAUAUAGAGGUAAAAAAUAGAUUUUGCCUUAUAUAUACAGUGUAAUUUUUCGGCGAACCUCCUUCCACCCCAUAAAUUCGCCCCUGAAAGUGAUAUACANNNNNNNNNNNNNNNNNNNNNNNNNNNNNNNNNNNNNNNNNNNNNNNNNNNNNNNNNNNNNNNNNNNNNNNNNNNNNNNNNNNNNNNNNNNNNNNNNNNNNNNNNNNNNNNNNNNNNNNNNNNNNNNNNNNNNNNNNNNNNNNNNNNNNNNNNNNNNNNNNNNNNNNNNNNNNNNNNNNNNNNNNNNNNNNNNNNNNNNNNNNNNNNNNNNNNNNNNNNNNNNNNNNNNNNNNNNNNNNNNNNNNNNNNNNNNNNNNNNNNNNNNNNNNNNNNNNNNNNNNNNNNNNNNNNNNNNNNNNNNNNNNNNNNNNNNNNNNNNNNNNNNNNNNNNNNNNNNNNNNNNNNNNNNNNNNNNNNNNNNNNNNNNNNNNNNNNNNNNNNNNNNNNNNNNNNNNNNNNNNNNNNNNNNNNNNNNNNNNNNNNNNNNNNNNNNNNNNNNNNNNNNNNNNNNNNNNNNNNNNNNNNNNNNNNNNNNNNNNNNNNNNNNNNNNNNNNNNNNNNNNNNNNNNNNNNNNNNNNNNNNNNNNNNNNNNNNNNNNNNNNNNNNNNNNNNNNNNNNNNNNNNNNNNNNNNNNNNNNNNNNNNNNNNNNNNNNNNNNNNNNNNNNNNNNNNNNNNNNNNNNNNNNNNNNNNNNNNNNNNNNNNNNNNNNNNNNNNNNNNNNNNNNNNNNNNNNNNNNNNNNNNNNNNNNNNNNNNNNNNNNNNNNNNNNNNNNNNNNAACUUCAGCAUGUUUAGACUGAAGUUUCAGAUAAAACUCAUGAAAAAACUAUAGGCUGCAGGAUAAAUAACUUCAACAUGCAUUAGCAUGAAGUUUUAGUUUCAAUGUGAAAUUUUUCACGAAUGAGGUUGCGGAUCACGCGAUUAAUGAGUGAUGCAGAUUUUAUAUCUUUUGUCAGGGGUGUAAUUGUUAUAUUGUUAUAGAUUUUUUGUCAGGUGGCUACCAAAUCAAUAAUUUUUAAAAAUAAGGUACAAGUUAAUAGGUGACACAAAUAUAAGGUACAACUGCAAAUCCCCAAUUUUAAAGAGACUUGACAAGAAAGCCCAAUUUAAAGACCCAAAAGCCUCCACGAGUAACAUAAACCAGUGGGCCCAUUUCCUCCACGAGCCCAAUACAAAACCCUAAUCUAAUUCAUACAUAUAUAUUGUAUCAUUUACUAAAACAUUUUGGGUUAGGUCAUUUUCCAGCAGAAGAGUGGGAGUAAACCAAACAAAAGCAUAACAAUGAAUGCGGCGCCAGCGGCGGCGGAAUCAGUGCAAUGUUUCGGGCGGAAGAAGACGGCGGUAGCAGUAACACACUGCAAGCGCGGUCGUGGCCUGAUUAAGAUCAAUGGUGUACCAAUCGAGCUCGUUCAACCCGAAAUCCUCCGGUACAAAGCCUUCGAACCAAUCCUCCUCUUAGGUCGCCACCGAUUCGCCGGAGUCGACAUGCGAAUCCGCGUCAAAGGAGGAGGUCACACUUCUCAGAUCUACGCUAUUCGUCAGUCCAUAGCGAAGGCGCUGGUUGCCUUUUACCAGAAGUAUGUGGAUGAACAGCAGAAGAAGGAGAUUAAGGAUAUUUUGGUUAGGUACGACAGGACUUUGCUUGUUGCUGAUCCGAGAAGGUGUGAACCUAAGAAGUUUGGUGGUCGUGGUGCUCGUGCUAGGUUCCAGAAAUCUUACCGUUAAAAUUCCUAUUUCGAUUUAUGGUAUCUGUUUUUAUCCCUGUUGGUAUGGUUUUGGUUUAGGAAUCAUUAUGGAUUUACUGCUAUCUGAGAAAGUUUUGGAUUUGGAUAAACUUUAAUAUAGCUGUUUCACAUGCUAUGAAAUAUGAAUGCAAUGAAUUGUGCUUUUAUUUGCAU